Molecule: long non-coding RNA, 737 nt
Organism: Cannabis sativa
Lineage: Eukaryota; Viridiplantae; Streptophyta; Magnoliopsida; Rosales; Cannabaceae
Exons: 2
Source: RefSeq, a predicted model, not a curated record
GGUUUUAUGUAUUUAUUAAAUAGUGUUGAAAAAAAAUAGUAAACAAUAAAGUUAGCUUGCACGUGUCCCUAGAAAGAAACCCUAUUUCUUUAUCCCUCUUCAAUCUUUACAUUUAGAAGACUUUUACAAAAAAAAUUAGCCGUUUCUUCUUCUUCUUCUUCUCCAAGACGACGAACCACCUCCUGCGCACGAACCACCUCCGAGACGACGAAGCCGCGGCCAUCCCUAGCCUCCCAAGGCCAAUCAACGACGGACGAGAGACUAACCAAAACCCCAAGCGAUCUUCUGCCUCAUCGAACAUCGUAACCUUCUCCUUCGACAUUAUUGACCUGCGGGCCUUCCUUUCUUGCAUCCUAAUCGCUGUUUUAAGAGGCGGUCAACAGCGGCUCUAGGUUCGUCCAAGAUUAUGAUUCCAAGUUGGCGGUGGAUGACAGCUUUCCGUUUGUGAAUGGAGCUUCAUGAUUCGUUGUUUAAGUGGACUGGAAUUAUGAUCUGAUUUGUCUUUUUUAUGUUUAGGUUUCUAAUAUUUUUAGACAUGUUUAUUCCCAUUUCUUGCUUUUAUUUUCAUUUGAGUGUUCAUACCCACUUCUCACUGUAUUAUAAAUAUUACAGUUAAAUUUUUUUUUACUGUAUUUGUUAUCCACUAUUUUUUAUGAAUAUUUUAGUUUAAAUUUGUGUUUAAUAUUGUAAUAGAUUUUAAUUUGUUUCUGUUAAAAUAGAAUGUAAUAAUAAUUAAA